RNAcentral lists this ribosomal RNA (253 nucleotides) under uncultured bacterium. RNAcentral describes it as "partial 16S ribosomal RNA". It matches the Rfam family "Bacterial small subunit ribosomal RNA", at positions 524 to 776 of the family's 1533-position model. The record is from RNAcentral.
UACGAAGGGGGCUAGCGUUGUUCGGGAUCACUGGGCGUAAAGGGCGCGUAGGCGGCCUGAUAAGUCGGGGGUGAAAGCCUGUGGCUCAACCACAGAAUUGCCUUCGAUACUGUUAGGCUUGAGACCGGAAGAGGUAAGUGGAACUGCGAGUGUAGAGGUGAAAUUCGUAGAUAUUCGCAAGAACACCAGUGGCGAAGGCGGCUUACUGGUCCGGUUCUGACGCUGAGGCGCGAAAGCGUGGGGAGCAAACAGG